Molecule: long non-coding RNA, 803 nt
Filed under: Pan troglodytes (chimpanzee)
Lineage: Eukaryota; Metazoa; Chordata; Mammalia; Primates; Hominidae
Description: long non-coding RNA NONPTRT004395
Source: RNAcentral
UCUGCACAGUAUCCAGGGACCUCAGACCCAGGGACAGCACCUGGCACACUUGCUGGGGGAGAAGACGCUGUGGUGGGUGGUGGCCCAUGAGUGUGUACAUGUGUGGUUGUCUGCGCAUGUGUGUGCAUGCCUGCACAUGGGCCUGCACAUGUAAGCGUGUUGUGUUCAACUGCACGUGUGUGCAGGUAUUGUUGCCUUGCCUGUCUGCACACACAUGUACCUGUGUGUUCAUUUCACACAUGUAUUGCUGGGAACAUGUGUGUACAUGGCUAUGCAUACAUGUGUAUGUGCCUGUGUGUUAGUGUAGGCCUGGAACCCACGUACACCCAGGGCAUGCGGGGCUGGAGAACAGGCGUGGCCAAGUUCACAGAUGGGCAGCUGCACGGACACUCAGGGCAUGUGGGGCUGGAGAACAGGCGUGGCCAAGCUCACAGAUGGGCAGCUGCACGGACACCCAGGGCAUGUGGGGCUGGAGAACAGGCGUGGCCAAGCUCACAGAUGGGCAGCUGCGCGGACACUCAGGGCACGUGGGGCUGGAGAACAGGCGUGGCCAAGCUCACAGAUGGGCAGCUGCGCGGACACCCAGGGCACGUGGGGCUGGAGAACAGGCGUGGCCAAGCUCACAGAUGGGCAGCUGCGCGGACACCCAGGGCACGUGGGGCUGGAGAACAGGCGUGGCCAAGCUCACAGAUGGGCAGCUGCACGGACACCCAGGGCACGUGGGGCUGGAGAACAGGCGUGGCCAAGCUCACAGAUGGGCAGCUGCACGGACACCCAGGGCAUGUGGGGCUGGAGAACAGGCG